GUCAAAGAGGAAACCUAAUGAAACUCAAAAAGAUCCUCCCUCCAUCAUUUUCAGCUCCUUUGGAUUGGUCAUUGUGUCUUUGAAACAGUCUCCUUCACUGGAUUAUUUAGGAAUAUGGCUACACUUUGACCAUAUUUUCUUUUUUAUUGAAAUACGAGGCAUAUACCAUACAAUUGAUCUUUCUUAUAGAAUACAUUUGAUGAAUUUACCUGUCUUCUCCUCUUCAAAAUAAUGCGGGUGAGACUCUAAUAUUAGAGGUAUCUGGCUGUGUCAGG
This 275-nucleotide long non-coding RNA is filed under the name Capra hircus (goat). Its description in RNAcentral is "lncRNA (ENSCHIG00000000788.1)". Lineage: Eukaryota; Metazoa; Chordata; Mammalia; Artiodactyla; Bovidae. The record is from RNAcentral.